This 460-nucleotide ribosomal RNA is filed under the name uncultured bacterium. Its description in RNAcentral is "partial 16S ribosomal RNA". It matches the Rfam family "Bacterial small subunit ribosomal RNA", at positions 338 to 795 of the family's 1533-position model. The record is from RNAcentral.
CCUACGGGGGGCAGCAGUGAGGAAUAUUGGUCAAUGGACGAGAGUCUGAACCAGCCAAGUAGCGUGAAGGAUGACUGCCCUAUGGGUUGUAAACUUCUUUUAUAUGGGAAUAAAAUGUUCCACGUGUGGGCUUUUGUAUGUACCAUAUGAAUAAGGAUCGGCUAACUCCGUGCCAGCAGCCGCGGUAAUACGGAGGAGCCGAGCGUUAUCCGGAUUUAUUGGGUUUAAAGGGAGCGUAGGUGGAUUGUUAAGUCAGUUGUGAAAGUUUGCGGCUCAACCGUAAAAUUGCAGUUGAAACUGGCAGUCUUGAGUACAGUAGAGGUGGGCGGAAUUCGUGGUGUAGCGGUGAAAUGCUUAGAUAUCACGAAGAACUCCGAUUGCGAAGGCAGCUCACUGGACUGCAACUGACACUGAGGCUCGAAAGUGUGGGUAUCAAACAGGAUUAGAUACCCGAGUAGUC